RNAcentral lists this ribosomal RNA (501 nucleotides) under Dyella sp. PML2(5). RNAcentral's name for it is "bacterial SSU rRNA". It matches the Rfam family "Bacterial small subunit ribosomal RNA", at positions 14 to 503 of the family's 1533-position model. Lineage: Bacteria; Pseudomonadati; Pseudomonadota; Gammaproteobacteria; Lysobacterales; Rhodanobacteraceae. The record is from RNAcentral.
GGAUCCUGGCUCAGAUUGAACGCUGGCGGCAUGCCUAACACAUGCAAGUCGAACGGCAGCACAGUAGAGCUUGCUCUAUGGGUGGCGAGUGGCGGACGGGUGAGUAAUGCAUCGGGAUCUACCCAAACGUGGGGGAUAACGUAGGGAUACUUACGCUAAUACCGCAUACGUCUUACGAGAGAAAGCAGGGGACCUUCGGGCCUUGCGCGGUUGGACGAACCGAUGUGCGAUUAGCUAGUUGGUAGGGUAAUGGCCUACCAAGGCGACGAUCGCUAGCUGGUCUGAGAGGAUGAUCAGCCACACUGGAACUGAGACACGGUCCAGACUCCUACGGGAGGCAGCAGUGGGGAAUAUUGGACAAUGGGCGCAAGCCUGAUCCAGCAAUGCCGCGUGUGUGAAGAAGGCCUUCGGGUUGUAAAGCACUUUUAUCAGGAGCGAAAUACUACCGGCUAAUAUCCGAGUGGGGCUGACGGUACCUGAGGAAUAAGCACGCAAAUACUU